Molecule: ribosomal RNA, 224 nt
Filed under: uncultured Acinetobacter sp.
Lineage: Bacteria; Pseudomonadati; Pseudomonadota; Gammaproteobacteria; Moraxellales; Moraxellaceae
Description: partial 16S ribosomal RNA
Rfam family: Bacterial small subunit ribosomal RNA
Source: RNAcentral
UCCUACGGGAGGCAGCAGUGGAGCAUGUGGGCCUACGGGAGGCAGCAGUGGGGAAUAUUGGACAAUGGGCGAAAGCCUGAUCCAGCCAUGCCGCGUGUGUGAAGAAGGCCUUUUGGUUGUAAAGCACUUUAAGCGAGGAGGAGGCUACUGAGAUUAAUACUCUAGGAUAGUGGACGUUACUCGCAGAAUAAGCACCGGCUAACUCUGUGCCAGCAGCCGCGGUA